UGAGUAGGAAAGAUGAUCGCGGAUGCCCAUAAAGCAUACGAGGAAAGUCCGAGCUCCAUAGGGCAGGGUGCUGGAUAACGUCCAGCGAGGGUGACCUUAGGGAAAGUGCCAUAGAAAUGUAAACCGCCAGCUAUGCUGGUAAGGAUGGAACGGUGCGGUAAGAGCGCACCAGCAGUCAGGUGACUGGCUGGCUAGGUAAACCCCACCUGGAGCAAGACCAAAUAGGGAAGGGAUGAAGCUGCCCGCUGAACCUUCCGGGUUGCGUCGCUAGAGCUGUCAGGUAACUGCCAGACUAGAUAGAUGAUCAUCACCGUGUAAGCGGUACAGAACUCGGCUUAUUGAUUACUCACAAC
Non-coding RNA from Pelosinus fermentans B4, 353 nucleotides. Lineage: Bacteria; Bacillati; Bacillota; Negativicutes; Selenomonadales; Sporomusaceae. The record is from Rfam.